This 1300-nucleotide ribosomal RNA is filed under the name metagenome. RNAcentral describes it as "bacterial LSU rRNA". It matches the Rfam family "Bacterial large subunit ribosomal RNA", at positions 1635 to 2925 of the family's 2925-position model. The record is from RNAcentral.
UACACGACCGUACCGCAAACCGACACUGGUGCGCGAGAUGAGUAUUCUAAGGCGCUUGAGAGAACUCAGGAGAAGGAACUCGGCAAAUUGACACCGUAACUUCGGAAGAAGGUGUGCCUUUAGUAGGUGAACCAUUUACUUGGGGAGCCCAAUGAGGUUGCAAAAAAUCGGUGGCUGCGACUGUUUAAUAAAAACACAGCACUCUGCAAACACGAAAGUGGACGUAUAGGGUGUGACGCCUGCCCGGUGCUGGAAGAUUAAAUGAUGGGGUGCAAGCUCUUGAUUGAAGUCCCGGUAAACGGCGGCCGUAACAAUAACGGUCCUAAGGUAGCGAAAUUCCUUGUCGGGUAAGUUCCGACCUGCACGAAUGGCGUAACGAUGGCCACACUGUCUCCUCCUGAGACUCAGCGAAGUUGAAAUGUUUGUGAUGAUGCAAUCUCCCCGCGGAAAGACGGAAAGACCCCAUGAACCUUUACUGUAGCUUUGUAUUGGACUUUGAACAGAUCUGUGUAGGAUAGGUGGGAGGCUUUGAAGUGUGGUCGCUAGAUCGCAUGGAGCCAACGUUGAAAUACCACCCUGGUGUGUUUGAGGUUCUAACCUAGGCCCGUAAUCCGGGUCGGGGACAGUGCAUGGUAGGCAGUUUGACUGGGGCGGUCUCCUCCCAAAGCGUAACGGAGGAGUUCGAAGGUACGCUAGGUACGGUCGGACAUCGUGCUAAUAGUGCAAUGGCAUAAGCGUGCUUAACUGCGAGACUGACAAGUCGAGCAGAUGCGAAAGCAGGACAUAGUGAUCCGGUGGUUCUGUAUGGAAGGGCCAUCGCUCAACGGAUAAAAGGUACUCUGGGGAUAACAGGCUGAUACCGCCCAAGAGUUCAUAUCGACGGCGGUGUUUGGCACCUCGAUGUCGGCUCAUCUCAUCCUGGGGCUGUAGCCGGUCCCAAGGGUAUGGCUGUUCGCCAUUUAAAGAGGUACGUGAGCUGGGUUUAAAACGUCGUGAGACAGUUUGGUCCCUAUCUUCCGUGGGCGCUGCAGAUUUGAGGAAGCCUGCUCCUAGUACGAGAGGACCGGAGUGGACACACCUCUGGUGUAUCGGUUGUCACGCCAGUGGCAUUGCCGAGUAGCUAUGUGUGGAAGAGAUAACCGCUGAAAGCAUCUAAGCGGGAAACUCGUUUCAAGAUGAGAUCUGCCGGGGCCUUGAGCCCCCUAAAGAGUCGUUCAAGACCAGGACGUUGAUAGGUCAGGUGUGGAAGCGCAGUAAUGCGUUAAGCUAACUGAUACUAAUUGCUCGUGCGGCUUGACCC